GGGCGCGCACUGGAUUUGAUUUAAAUUGGAUCAAGUAUGUUGCAAGUCGAAGAGAUGCCCGGCUUCGUUAAAAGGCAUAACUUCUUACAUGGCAAAAAUAAAAGUCGUGUUGAGGCAUUCGCUCCUCGUAGCGAAAGUCUCGCAUUAGCAGCCUAAACACCUGCUACCUCUCCCUAUCAGACGCAGAUACGAUAGGUGAGAGGUCCCCCAUCUGCAAAACAGAAAAAGUUUACUUGUAUCACAAACUGCAAAUAAUUGAAACAAGCAGUUGGAUGCUGAUAUCAUAACUAUAAAAAAAAUCAGCUAAACUUGUAGACGCAUAUUUGUUAAGAUUUAAAGACGCGAGUUCGACUCUCGCCGCGUCCACCA
RNAcentral lists this transfer-messenger RNA (369 nucleotides) under Crocinitomicaceae bacterium. It matches the Rfam family "transfer-messenger RNA". From Rfam's summary of the family: Bacterial tmRNA, also known as 10Sa RNA or SsrA, is named for its dual tRNA and mRNA-like properties. The record is from RNAcentral. RNAcentral also lists the same sequence under 1 other name. Lineage: Bacteria; Pseudomonadati; Bacteroidota; Flavobacteriia; Flavobacteriales; Crocinitomicaceae.